UACGAAGGGGGCUAGCGUUGUUCGGAAUUACUGGGCGUAAAGCGCGUGUAGGCGGGUCUUUAAGUCAGGGGUGAAAUGCCAAGGCUCAACCUUGGAACUGCCUUUGAUACUGGAGAUCUUGAGUCCGGGAGAGGUGAGUGGAAUUGCGGGUGUAGCGGUGAAAUGCGUAGAUAUCCGCAGGAACAUCCGAGGCGAAAGCGGCUCGCUGGAUCGCAACUGACGCUGAGGGACGAAAGCUAGGGGAGCAAACAG
This 252-nucleotide ribosomal RNA is filed under the name uncultured bacterium. RNAcentral's name for it is "partial 16S ribosomal RNA". It matches the Rfam family "Bacterial small subunit ribosomal RNA", at positions 524 to 775 of the family's 1533-position model. The record is from RNAcentral.